GACGGGGGGGACUAGUGUUAUUCAUCCUAACUGGGCGUAAAGGGCAUGUAGGCGGUUUGUUAUGUUUUUAGUAAAAUUCUUGGGCUCAACCCAAGGCUGACUUUUUAAACUGAUAAACUUGAGUUUAUUUGAGCAAAACGGUACAUAUAGUGUAAAGGUGAAAUUUGUAGAAAUUAUAUGGACCACCAACGGGCGAAGGCGGUUUUGCAAAUAUUAACUGACGCUAAAGUGCAAAAGCAUGGGGAGCGAACAGG
This 254-nucleotide ribosomal RNA is filed under the name uncultured bacterium. RNAcentral's name for it is "partial 16S ribosomal RNA". It matches the Rfam family "Bacterial small subunit ribosomal RNA", at positions 524 to 776 of the family's 1533-position model. The record is from RNAcentral.